RNAcentral lists this transfer RNA (73 nucleotides) under Methanobacterium formicicum. RNAcentral's name for it is "tRNA-Asn (GTT) (tRNA-Asn-GTT-2-1)". It matches the Rfam family "tRNA". From Rfam's summary of the family: Transfer RNA (tRNA) molecules are approximately 80 nucleotides in length. Their secondary structure includes four short double-helical elements and three loops (D, anti-codon, and T loops). Lineage: Archaea; Methanobacteriati; Methanobacteriota; Methanobacteria; Methanobacteriales; Methanobacteriaceae. The record is from RNAcentral.
GUCCUUGUAGUUCAGUAGGUAGAACGCUAGACUGUUAAUCUAGAUGCCGUAGGUUCAAGUCCUACCAGGGACG